UUAACACAUGCAAGUCGAACGAUGAAGCCUGGCUUGCUGGGUGGAUUAGUGGCGAACGGGUGAGUAACACGUGAGUAACCUGCCCUUGACUCUGGGAUAAGCGCUGGAAACGGCGUCUAAUACCGGAUACGACCUGCCCCGGCAUCGGGUGUGGGUGGAAAGUUUUUCGGUCAAGGAUGGACUCGCGGCCUAUCAGCUUGUUGGUGAGGUAAUGGCUUACCAAGGCGACGACGGGUAGCCGGCCUGAGAGGGUGACCGGCCACACUGGGACUGAGACACGGCCCAGACUCCUACGGGAGGCAGCAGUGGGGAAUAUUGCACAAUGGGCGAAAGCCUGAUGCAGCAACGCCGCGUGGGGGAUGACGGCCUUCGGGUUGUAAACCUCUUUUAGUAGGGAAGAAGGGCUUCGGCUUGACGGUACCUGCAGAAAAAGCACCGGCUAACUACGUGCCAGCAGCCGCGGUAAUACGUAGGGUGCAAGCGUUGUCCGGAAUUAUUGGGCGUAAAGAGCUCGUAGGCGGUUUGUCGCGUCUGCUGUGAAAACCCGAGGCUCAACCUCGGGCCUGCAGUGGGUACGGGCAGACUAGAGUGCGGUAGGGGAGAAUGGAAUUCCUGGUGUAGCGGUGGAAUGCGCAGAUAUCAGGAGGAACACCGAUGGCGAAGGCAGUUCUCUGGGCCGUUACUGACGCUGAGGAGCGAAAGCGUGGGGAGCGAACAGGAUUAGAUACCCUGGUAGUCCACGCCGUAAACGUUGGGAACUAGAUGUGGGGGCCUUUCCACGGUCUCCGUGUCGCAGCUAACGCAUUAAGUUCCCCGCCUGGGGAGUACGGCCGCAAGGCUAAAACUCAAAGGAAUUGACGGGGGCCCGCACAAGCGGCGGAGCAUGCGGAUUAAUUCGAUGCAACGCGAAGAACCUUACCAAGGCUUGACAUAUACCGGAAACUUCCAGAGAUGGUUGCCCCGCAAGGUCGGUAUACAGGUGGUGCAUGGUUGUCGUCAGCUCGUGUCGUGAGAUGUUGGGUUAAGUCCCGCAACGAGCGCAACCCUCGUUCUAUGUUGCCAGCACGUGAUGGUGGGAACUCAUAGGAGACUGCCGGGGUCAACUCGGAGGAAGGUGGGGAUGACGUCAAAUCAUCAUGCCCCUUAUGUCUUGGGCUUCACGCAUGCUACAAUGGCCGGUACAAAGGGCUGCGAUACCGUAAGGUGGAGCGAAUCCCAAAAAGCCGGUCUCAGUUCGGAUUGAGGUCUGCAACUCGACCUCAUGAAGUCGGAGUCGCUAGUAAUCGCAGAUCAGCAACGCUGCGGUGAAUACGUUCCCGGGCCUUGUACACACCGCCCGUCAAGUCAUGAAAGUCGGUAACACCCGAAGCCAGUGGCCUAACCGUAAGGAGGGAGCUGUCGAAGGUGG
RNAcentral lists this ribosomal RNA (1408 nucleotides) under Rathayibacter iranicus. RNAcentral's name for it is "bacterial SSU rRNA". It matches the Rfam family "Bacterial small subunit ribosomal RNA". The record is from RNAcentral. Lineage: Bacteria; Bacillati; Actinomycetota; Actinomycetes; Micrococcales; Microbacteriaceae.